RNAcentral lists this long non-coding RNA (1602 nucleotides) under Homo sapiens (human). RNAcentral describes it as "HSALNT0337329". Lineage: Eukaryota; Metazoa; Chordata; Mammalia; Primates; Hominidae. The record is from RNAcentral.
AUUGAAGGCAGAAAGAAGAGGAAAGAGGGAGGGCUUUCUCUGACUGAGGUUUUUUGGGGGAGGUAAGCUCUUUCUGGUGACUUCUGCUUUCAUCACAUCGGAACUGUGUAUGUCAACUUCCAGCUGCCUUGGUGGGGGUCUUGUGUUUUUAUCAGGGCACACGGCUGCCCUAGAGAGUAAUUGGUGUUGUAUUAAUACAAAAAGAGAGGGCAAUGGGUACUGGAUUGGCACAACAGUAUAUGCCAUGUUAUGCUUUUAUUAUUUUGUUGAUUUUAUUUGGAUAUAAUCCUUUUGAAAUAAUUGCUCCCAUCAAAGUGGUAGUACUUCAUGUGGCUUUGCUGAAAUUUUUUUUUAGUUUCAAAGUUAUGAAAAUAAACUUAAUACUCAUUGUAUUAGCAAGUAAAGGACAAUUGUAAUUUUGUUUUCAACUAUUGCUGUUGAAUGUGAUCCAUUUUUCUCUGACUCAUCUUAGUGUUGUAAACUAGUUAAAAGUCAUGCCAAGUUAGGUGUCUAUUUCACGGAUUUUUAAAACAUCAUUCCACAGCUUCUUAUGAAGCAGCUACUUUUCUAGGGAGAAUGGACAGCAAGAGAUCAGUGGAUGGGAAUGAUAAGAAAUAUCCUCUGACCUCAAAGAGCUUCUAAUCUGCUGGGUCAAGCGGGAGAGCGGUUGGUAACUAUAGUGAAAGGAAGCAUGAAACACAAGCUGGAUAUGGAGGUUAAAGGAAACAUUUCUACAAGUCCUGCGGGAAGAGGGUGACAGGACAUAAAACAGAGAGCUCUGCCAACUCCCAGUGCUUCAAAUAGCCACUUUCAGUGGGUGAAUAUGUUAUGGAUUUUAGUUUCCCCAAAUAAAAUAUUGUAACCUAAUCAAAUUAUCCACCAGUAUGGAAAUAAAUUCUUAAAAAUCAAAGCUUAUAGAGCAGACACUGUCAACCUCUUUUCACACAUCCUCUGACUCAUAUCAUUCAUGUGCACACCCCUUAGAGCGUGGGUGGUUUCUUUUCACAUAAUUAGAAUCAUACUACUCAUUUACAAAUCAGUCACCUCUUUGGAGUGUCUUUUUAGUCCCAUCUGCACAGGGUGUCACACUGAUCCUCAUUGGCAGGAGUAAAUUUUAUGAAGAACUAUGAAUUGGUAUUUGCAUAGAGGGAGCUGUAUUUUCCAAACUGUGGUUGCUACUGCAUCACUGGGUUGGUGAAAUCAAAUUAGGGACAAUGAGCAAUGUAAACAAAGAAAUAGAAUAUAAAAUAUUGGAGCGUAUCAUACAGUAAGGUGCAGUUACUGAACUUGACUCUGUGGUAGCUGUUUAGCUCUGCAGGCAAGAGAAUGCAGAGGAAAUCCUUGAAUUUCAACAGCCUCUCCCUGUGAGUGGGCACAAGUGCAACUGAUUAUCCAAAAGUAGUUGCUUAAACUAAUUUAGACUAUUUAGCUAACCUCAAUCCCAGUGCCGAUCUUAUGUUGCUUAGAAAAUUACCUGUUGGUGAUUAUAAUAAAUGGAGAUGUGGAGUUGGGUGGAGGCCGGCUCAUGGUAGGGAUAGGUAAGCUUAAAACACCAGCCUUUUGAAAAUAACCACUUGUGUUUGAUGAGGACGUUUAUGAAGC